Molecule: non-coding RNA, 937 nt
Organism: Leptonychotes weddellii (Weddell seal)
Lineage: Eukaryota; Metazoa; Chordata; Mammalia; Carnivora; Phocidae
Source: RefSeq, a predicted model, not a curated record
AUUUCGAUGUCGAUCAUUUUGUGUCUGACUGUAGGAAGCGUGUCCAGCUGGAGGAACUGAGAGGAGAUCUGGAACUCUACUAUAAACUUCUUAAAACAGCCAUGGUCGAGCUCAUCAACAAGGAUUAUGCAGAUUUUGUCAACCUUUCCACAAACUUGGUCGGCAUGGACAAAGCCCUCAAUCAGCUUUCUGUGCCUUUGGGACAGUUACGGGAAGAAGUUCUGAGUCUCAGGUCGUCUGUCAGUGAAGGAAUUCGGGCAGUAGAUGAACGAAUGUGUAAACAAGAGGACAUAAGGAAGAAAAAGAUGUGUGUGUUGAGGCUUAUACAAGUUAUUCGAUCAGUUGAAAAAAUUGAAAAAAUCUUAAAUUCUCAAAGUUCUAAAGAAACCUCUGCACUAGAAGCAAGCAGUUAGAAUUCAUUUCUGAACAAGAAGAAAAUCCAGGUCUGUGCCUUAGUGUUUUUGAAUGUAGCUCCAGGAGAGUGGAGCGCAUAAAAUGCCCACUUUGGACUGGACAGAUUUUGGAGAGAAUUGCCACAGAAUUUAACCAGCUACAGUUUCAUGCUGUUCAGAGCAAAGGCAUGCCUCUUCUGGACAAAGUAAGACCGCGUAUAGCUGGCAUUACGGCCAUGUUACAGCAGAGCCUGGAAGGCCUGCUGUUAGAAGGUCUUCAGACUUCCAAUGUUGAUAUAAUACGGCACUGCUUACGGACCUACGCCACGAUUGACAAGACGCGGGACGCAGAGGCAUUAGUUGGUCAAGUACUGGUGAAACCAUACAUGGAUGAGGUGAUCGUAGAGCAGAUUGUCGAGUCUCAUCCGAACGGCCUUCAGAUCAUGUAUGAUAAGCUCCUGGGGUUUGUUCCUCACCACUGCCGCCUUCUUCGAGAAGUCACAGGAGGAACCAUCUCAAGGUGAUGGAAACUACUGUGCUUGCAC